RNAcentral lists this ribosomal RNA (468 nucleotides) under uncultured bacterium. RNAcentral's name for it is "partial 16S ribosomal RNA". It matches the Rfam family "Bacterial small subunit ribosomal RNA", at positions 28 to 507 of the family's 1533-position model. The record is from RNAcentral.
GACGAACGCUGGCGGCGUGCUUAACACAUGCAAGUCGAACGGAAAGGCCCUGCUUUUGUGGGGUGCUCGAGUGGCGAACGGGUGAGUAACACGUGAGUAACCUGCCCUUGACUUUGGGAUAACUUCAGGAAACUGGGGCUAAUACCGGAUAGGAGCUCCUGCUGCAUGGUGGGGGUUGGAAAGUUUCGGCGGUUGGGGAUGGACUCGCGGCUUAUCAGCUUGUUGGUGGGGUAGUGGCUUACCAAGGCUUUGACAGGUAGCCGGCCUGAGAGGGUGACCGGCCACAUUGGGACUGAGAUACGGCCCAGACUCCUACGGGAGGCAGCAGUGGGGAAUAUUGCACAAUGGGCGGAAGCCUGAUGCAGCAACGCCGCGUGCGGGAUGACGGCCUUCGGGUUGUAAACCGCUUUCGCCUGUGACGAAGCGUGAAUGACGGUAAUGGGUAAAGAAGCACCGGCUAACUACGUG